This 459-nucleotide ribosomal RNA is filed under the name uncultured bacterium. RNAcentral describes it as "partial 16S ribosomal RNA". It matches the Rfam family "Bacterial small subunit ribosomal RNA", at positions 338 to 795 of the family's 1533-position model. The record is from RNAcentral.
CCUACGGGAGGCAGCAGUGAGGAAUAUUGGUCAAUGGCCGGAAGGCUGAACCAGCCAAGCCGCGUGAAGGACGAAGGUGCCAAGCAUUGUAAACUUCUUUUGUCAAGGGACAAAAUCAGGCUCGAGAGCCUGACCGAGGGUACUUGAAGAAAAAGCAUCGGAUAACUCCGUGCCAGCAGCCGCGGUAAUACGGAGGAUGCGAGCGUUAUCCGGAUUGAUUGGGUUUAAAGGGUGCGUAGGCGGGCUGUUAAGUCAGCGGUAAAAGCCCGGGGCUCAACCCCGGUGAGCCGUUGAAACUGGCUGUCUUGAGAUGUCGAGAGGUAUGCGGAAUGCGCAGUGUAGCGGUGAAAUGCUUAGAUAUUGCGCAGAACUCCGAUUGCGAAGGCAGCAUACCGGCGGCGAUCUGACGCUGAGGCACGAAAGCGUGGGUAUCGAACAGGAUUAGAUACCCCUGUAGUC